This 253-nucleotide ribosomal RNA is filed under the name uncultured bacterium. Its description in RNAcentral is "partial 16S ribosomal RNA". It matches the Rfam family "Bacterial small subunit ribosomal RNA", at positions 524 to 776 of the family's 1533-position model. The record is from RNAcentral.
UACGGGGGGGGUAAGCGUUGUUCGGAAUUACUGGGCGUAAAGGGCUCGUAGGCGGCCAACUAAGUCAGACGUGAAAUCCCUCAGCUUAACUGGGGAACUGCGUCUGAUACUGGAUGGCUUGGAUUUGGGAGAGGGAUGCGGAAUUCCAGGUGUAGCGGUGAAAUGCGUAGAUAUCUGGAGGAACACCGGUGGCGAAGGCGGCAUCCUGGACCGACACUGACGCUGAGGAGCGAAAGCCAGGGGAGCAAACGGG